Molecule: ribosomal RNA, 497 nt
Filed under: uncultured bacterium
Lineage: Bacteria
Description: partial 16S ribosomal RNA
Rfam family: Bacterial small subunit ribosomal RNA
Source: RNAcentral
GAUGAACGCUGGCGGCGUGCCUAAUACAUGCAAGUCGAGCGAACAGACGAGGAGCUUGCUCCUCUGACGUUAGCGGCGGACGGGUGAGUAACACGUGGAUAACCUACCUAUAAGACUGGGAUAACUUCGGGAAACCGGAGCUAAUACCGGAUAAUAUAUUGAACCGCAUGGUUCAAUAGUGAAAGACGGUUUUGCUGUCACUUAUAGAUGGAUCCGCGCCGCAUUAGCUAGUUGGUAAGGUAACGGCUUACCAAGGCAACGAUGCGUAGCCGACCUGAGAGGGUGAUCAGCCACACUGGAACUGAGACACGGUCCAGACUCCUACGGGAGGCAGCAGUAGGGAAUCUUCCGCAAAGGGCGAAAGCCUGACGGAGCAACGCCGCGUGAGUGAUGAAGGUCUUCGGAUCGUAAAACUCUGUUAUUAGGGAAGAACAAAUGUGUAAGUAACUAUGCACGUCUUGACGGUACCUAAUCAGAAAGCCACGGCUAACUAUGUG